GAUGAACGCUGGCGGCGUGCCUAAUACAUGCAAGUCGAGCGGCAACACGAGGAGCUUGCUCCUCUGACGUUAGCGGCGGACGGGCGAGUAACACGUGGAUAACCAACUUAUAAGUCUGGGAUGACUACGGGAGGCCGCAGCCGCUACCGGAUCAUACAUUCAACCGCUUGAAUCAAUAGUGCAUGAGACCUUUCCUGUUACUUUUAGCUGGUUUCGCGUCGCAUUAGCUAGUUGGUAAGGUAACGGCUCACCAAGGCAACGAUGCGUAGCCGACCUGAGAGGGUGAUCAGCCACACUGGAACUGAGACACGGUCCAGACUCCUACGGGAGGCAGCAGUGGGGAAUCUUCGGCAAUGGGCGAAAGCCUGACGGAGCAAUGCCGCGUGAGUGAUGAAGGUCUUCGGGUCGUAAAACUCUUUUGUUGGGAAAGAACAGAAGUAGGAGAAAAUAUGGACGUCUUGACGGUACCUAAUCAGAAAGCAACGGCUAACUUCGUG
RNAcentral lists this ribosomal RNA (497 nucleotides) under uncultured bacterium. RNAcentral describes it as "partial 16S ribosomal RNA". It matches the Rfam family "Bacterial small subunit ribosomal RNA", at positions 28 to 507 of the family's 1533-position model. The record is from RNAcentral.